Small nucleolar RNA from Salarias fasciatus (jewelled blenny), 66 nucleotides. NCBI's taxonomy places the organism in Eukaryota, Metazoa, Chordata, Actinopteri, Blenniiformes, Blenniidae. The record is from Ensembl.
GCCAUGAUGACUUCCUGGUUUUGAUCAGCGAUGAAAGAACCUGAUCCUCUAAGAAGUUCUGAGCUC